RNAcentral lists this ribosomal RNA (320 nucleotides) under Nocardioides abyssi. Its description in RNAcentral is "SSU rRNA". It matches the Rfam family "Eukaryotic small subunit ribosomal RNA", at positions 871 to 1190 of the family's 1831-position model. Lineage: Bacteria; Bacillati; Actinomycetota; Actinomycetes; Propionibacteriales; Nocardioidaceae. The record is from RNAcentral.
AAGAGGGACGGCCGGGGGCAUUCGUAUUGCGCCGCUAGAGGUGAAAUUCUUGGACCGGCGCAAGACGGACCAGAGCGAAAGCAUUUGCCAAGAAUGUUUUCAUUAAUCAAGAACGAAAGUUGGGGGCUCGAAGACGAUCAGAUACCGUCCUAGUCUCAACCAUAAACGAUGCCGACCAGGGAUCGGCGGAUGUUGCUUAUAGGACUCCGCCGGCACCUUAUGAGAAAUCAAAGUCUUUGGGUUCCGGGGGGAGUAUGGUCGCAAGGCUGAAACUUAAAGGAAUUGACGGAAGGGCACCACCAGGCGUGGAGCCUGCGGCU